Molecule: non-coding RNA, 46 nt
Filed under: Schistosoma mattheei
Lineage: Eukaryota; Metazoa; Platyhelminthes; Trematoda; Strigeidida; Schistosomatidae
Source: RNAcentral
GCACUACUGAGGAGUCUCAUACUAGGACGAAACGGCCUUCUAGUGC